This 402-nucleotide ribosomal RNA is filed under the name uncultured prokaryote. RNAcentral describes it as "bacterial SSU rRNA". It matches the Rfam family "Bacterial small subunit ribosomal RNA", at positions 355 to 774 of the family's 1533-position model. The record is from RNAcentral.
UAGGGAAUAUUAGUAAUGGGCGAAAGCCCGAACCAGCAACGCCGCGUGCGCGAUGAAGGCCUUCGGGUUGUAAAGCGCUUUUUAAGGGGAUGAGGAAGGACAGUACUCUUAGAAUAAGCCUCGGCUAACUACGUGCCAGCAGCCGCGGUAAAACGUAGGAGGCGAGCGUUAUCCGGAUUUACUGGGCGUAAAGCGUGUGUAGGCGGUUUGAUAAGUUGGAUGUGAAAGCUCCCGGCUCAACUGGGAGAGGUCGUUCAAAACUAUCAGACUUGAGAGUGGUAGAGGGAGGUGGAAUUCCGCGUGUAGUGGUGAAAUGCGGAGAUAUCCGGAGGAACACCAGUGGCGAAAGCGGCCUCCUGGACCACUCCUGACACUCAGACGCGAAAGCUAGGGUAGCAAACG